ACGAUAUCAAAACUACGUAGAGCAAUUUCUGAACCUGGGUGUAGUGGGUCUUGGAGUCGCUGAGGACUUCGCUGACGUAAUACACUAGGCGUUGCACCAUGUGAACAUGGCCCGCCUCUUGGAGCUCCACAACUAGCACGGUGCUAACAACAUGCGUCGUUGCAGAGAUGUAAAGGUACAACGUUUCUUGAUCAGCCUAGGCCAUCAUGACGGUAGGAGUGGUGAGGAAAGCCUUGAGCUCUUCGCACUACUAGAAAAAUGACCUCUCGUCCAUGACCUCAGUACUGGUCACAUUUGAAUACAGUACUAAUGCUAACAUUAGUACCGGGUCCAAAUUUAAGAUCCUCCGGAGGCCCUUUAGUACCGGGAGGGGGCACCACCCAGUACUAAAGCUCCAACUACUGGCCCCUCCCCCCUCUCUCCCUCUCUCUCAUCAAUAAUUCUUAUCCUACUGCUCCCAUCCGCAAAUUCUCUAUCUCUCUCUCUCCCGUCUGCUCCCCUCCCCUCUCCUCCCCACACUUCAUCUCAUCUCUCGCAGUAGCGUGGCACACCGCUGCCCACUGCCGCCCCUCCCCUCCCCCCUCCACGCACCCCUCACCGGCGGUGAGGAGCAGCAGCGGGACGAGGUGAGGUGGUGGCGGCCAUCGGGGCGGCGGGGAGUGGCCGGCAAAUCGGCAGC
This 679-nucleotide long non-coding RNA is filed under the name Setaria viridis. Its description in RNAcentral is "long non-coding RNA (SVIR_LNC005755)". The record is from RNAcentral. Lineage: Eukaryota; Viridiplantae; Streptophyta; Magnoliopsida; Poales; Poaceae.